CCAAACAAAGCAGCAAUGCCAGCAUCUUCGACUUUCAGCUCCUGUCUAUUCUUCCAUAAAUUCUUCACAUAGUCAAGUUCCUUCCAAAAUGAUUCACAACGAUUGGGAAUACUAGCAAGUCGAGUGUAGAACAACUGCUUUGACAACAAGUUGCACUUCUCAACAGUGGGAGGUUCCUGAAUAUAUUGCUUAUUCUGCUCCAACAACUGCUUGUAGUAGGCAGUUCCAUGCUUAGACACAAACUUAGAAGCUUCACA
RNAcentral lists this unclassified non-coding RNA (257 nucleotides) under Hevea brasiliensis (rubber tree). Lineage: Eukaryota; Viridiplantae; Streptophyta; Magnoliopsida; Malpighiales; Euphorbiaceae. The record is from RNAcentral.